This 1694-nucleotide long non-coding RNA is filed under the name Ananas comosus (pineapple). RNAcentral's name for it is "long non-coding RNA (ACOM_LNC016875)". Lineage: Eukaryota; Viridiplantae; Streptophyta; Magnoliopsida; Poales; Bromeliaceae. The record is from RNAcentral.
ACAAACCUUAGUUUACAUGCAUAAAUAACGAAAGCAUCCCCAGAUCUACCAAAACCAGAUCACCAACAUUCAAACAAUCAUAAAGAUCAGCUAACUGAACCAUAUAAACUAUCUAAGCUAUAUCAACAGGACAGUAAGGGUAGAAACUAAACCGAAUAACCUGAGUCGGAAGCUCUAGCGACCACUACGAACGUGUCUCACGUCUCGUCUCAACUCUCACCGCCGGCGAUACCUGAAAAAUAGUGGGGGAGGUGAGAACAUGUAAACAUGUCUCCCCUCCCAGUGGGUACCGCAAGCCGAUGAAGGCGAGGAGUACUCACCGGAUCAGGAAGAGCUAAACAACAGUACGGGUCAGUAGAAAUACAGUAGCAAUAAUAGUGAAUGAAAGAGACAUAUAUACGAAAGAAGUACAACUACCGCUACUGUAAUGGACAACUGAAUGUAUACAUGUAACAAGACUAUGUAAUGAAAGAACUGAAGGUAUACAAGCAACAACCGCUACUAUAGUUAUAUGCAUCAACCGGACAAGAAGUCCAAAUAUACCCAAUCUAGUACCUGCUAUAUUGGUCCGCAGACCUCAAGCGCUGCCUGUCACUAACCUGCACCGACCUGAUUCACCCGCCCCACAGGACGACCCAUCCGGAUAAGUACACCUCCGAUCGGUGGCCAAACCGAUCCGGUGUCGUGAAUACCCCCAAGUGCUGUGACUAAGUCAUGAUGGUAUGCUCAAUACAAAAACCGGCUGAAACCGGUGCCUAGGCCGAAGCCAGAAACAAGGACGUACAACGCCGAACCUCGAUCAACCAGAUCGAAACACAUGACGAGAGAGUCAAUGUGUUACCUGGACCCAAGGUCCACAGAGUCCAACCGACCAGCAAGGUCACUGAUACGAAGUACGAGAACUGACCAACCAGGUCAACAGAUACGGAAUGCACAACCAACCAACUAGGUCAACAGAUACUGAAUGCAACAACAGACCAACUAGGUCAACAGAUACUGAAUGCAACAACAGACCAACUAGGUCAACAGAUACAGAAUGCAACAACAGACCAACUAGGUCAACAGAUACAGAAUGCAACAACAGACCAACUAGGUCAACAGAUACGCAUGUAGAUAGAACUACUCUACUCCUACUCAGGAUACUAAGCAUGCAAACAACGAGUAGAGUAUAACGAAUAAACAAGGGUGCAAGGCUCAAUAUACUAUGCGAUAGUAACAACAGAAGAGUAAGGGUAAGAAACCAUCACCAAGCGUGCACCACUGUACCGACGUCGGAUCGAAGUACCCACCUGUAAGGAUGUCGCGUCUGUCUCCUGACUGCAAAAGAAUGUCGACAGGACCUAUAGAGGGUCCACCGGGUUAGUAUCUAACCCACAACUAAUAAUCACAGUAUCCACAACCCCACAAACGAUUCCACGAAGAUCGGUUUCCCAAUACCGAUUACCGUAACUCGCCGGAAGUCCCGAAAACCACACCGGGACGCCGUCGGGACCCACUAAGUGUCCCGAAACUCACCGACUCGUGUCACGAGUCACCUGCUGCCCCAAAACACUCCAAUUUGGAUGUUUUGGCAGCAAACACAAGAUAACACCCCUACACAAUUAUCGCCGGAUAAUUGUACGAAUCCGGGUUCCCGAAAGUGUCUAUUUCGACACCGGAACCCACCGUCGCUCACCCAUCAUCACCGAACCCAC